This is a long non-coding RNA of Ruditapes philippinarum (Manila clam), 297 nucleotides long. RefSeq lists it as uncharacterized. The transcript is spliced from 3 exons. NCBI's taxonomy places the organism in Eukaryota, Metazoa, Mollusca, Bivalvia, Venerida, Veneridae. The record is from RefSeq and is a predicted model, not a curated record.
UUUCUCUUUAUAUUCUAUGUUAUUGUUGCAGUCUUUGCAGUUGUAACCUUGACUUGUGAUGAUUACUUCACUGUUUCUGAUCUUGACUCGAAAAUUAAUGAUACGUUUUCUGCAGGUGACGUAUUAUUCCAUAUUAAGGACGAGAUUAAUUUUUCAACUGACUGUAAAGACCAGGAACUUCUUAACAUAACAGCAAGUCCUGAUGUCCCUGGAGAAACUGUUGUUUUAUUAGCUGUAACGUUAUCUGACUAUUGUACAAGUUGGAUUUCUUGUGCCUUCGAAUGCACCAAGUCACAG